RNAcentral lists this ribosomal RNA (439 nucleotides) under uncultured bacterium. RNAcentral's name for it is "partial 16S ribosomal RNA". It matches the Rfam family "Bacterial small subunit ribosomal RNA", at positions 339 to 795 of the family's 1533-position model. The record is from RNAcentral.
CUACGGGCCGCUGCAGUGGGGAAUCUUGGACAAUGGGCGCAAGCCUGAUCCAGCCAUGCCGCGUGAGUGAUGAAGGCCCUAGGGUCGUAAAGCUCUUUCGCCAGGGAUGAUAAUGACAGUACCUGGUAAAGAAACCCCGGCUAACUCCGUGCCAGCAGCCGCGGUAAUACGGAGGGGGUUAGCGUUGUUCGGAAUUACUGGGCGUAAAGCGCGCGUAGGCGGAUUAGUUAGUCAGAGGUGAAAUCCCAGGGCUCAACCCUGGAACUGCCUUUGAUACUGCUAGUCUUGAGUUCGAGAGAGGUGAGUGGAAUUCCGAGUGUAGAGGUGAAAUUCGUAGAUAUUCGGAGGAACACCAGUGGCGAAGGCGGCUCACUGGCUCGAUACUGACGCUGAGGUGCGAAAGUGUGGGGAGCAAACAGGAUUAGAUACCCCCGUAGUC